This 691-nucleotide ribosomal RNA is filed under the name Chryseobacterium sp. T85.09.P.BNT.GC.H.Gill.D.M. RNAcentral's name for it is "bacterial SSU rRNA". It matches the Rfam family "Bacterial small subunit ribosomal RNA", at positions 60 to 752 of the family's 1533-position model. Lineage: Bacteria; Pseudomonadati; Bacteroidota; Flavobacteriia; Flavobacteriales; Weeksellaceae. The record is from RNAcentral.
AGCCGAGCGGUGAGAUCUUUCGGGAUCUUGAGAGCGGCGUACGGGUGCGGAACACGUGUGCAACCUGCCUUUAUCAGGGAGAUAGCCUUUCGAAAGGAAGAUUAAUAUCCCAUAAUAUAUUAAGUGGCAUCAUUUAAUAUUGAAAGCUCCGGCGGAUAGAGAUGGGCACGCGCAAGAUUAGAUAGUUGGUAAGGUAACGGCCUACCAAGUCAGUGAUCUUUAGGGGGCCUGAGAGGGUGAUCCCCCACACUGGUACUGAGACACGGACCAGACUCCUACGGGAGGCAGCAGUGAGGAAUAUUGGACAAUGGGUGAGAGCCUGAUCCAGCCAUCCCGCGUGAAGGACGACGGUUCUAUGGAUUGUAAACUUCUUUUAUACUGGGAUAAACCUACCCUCGUGAGGGUAGCUGAAGGUACAGUAUGAAUAAGCACCGGCUAACUCCGUGCCAGCAGCCGCGGUAAUACGGAGGGUGCAAGCGUUAUCCGGAUUUAUUGGGUUUAAAGGGUCCGUAGGCGGAUCUGUAAGUCAGUGGUGAAAUCUCACAGCUUAACUGUGAAACUGCCAUUGAUACUGCAGGUCUUGAGUAAAGUAGAAGUGGCUGGAAUAAGUAGUGUAGCGGUGAAAUGCAUAGAUAUUACUUAGAACACCAAUUGCGAAGGCAGGUCACUAUGUUUUAACUGACGCUGAUGG